GACGAACGCUGGCGGCGUGCCUAAUACAUGCAAGUAGAACGCUGAAGGAGGAGCUUGCUCUUCUGGAUGAGUUGCGAACGGGUGAGUAACGCGUAGGUAACCUGCCUGGUAGCGGGGGAUAACUAUUGGAAACGAUAGCUAAUACCGCAUAACAGUAGAUGUUGCAUGACAUUUGCUUAAAAGGUGCAAUUGCACCACUACCAGAUGGACCUGCGUUGUAUUAGCUAGUUGGUGGGGUAACGGCUCACCAAGGCGACGAUACAUAGCCGACCUGAGAGGGUGAUCGGCCACACUGGGACUGAGACACGGCCCAGACUCCUACGGGAGGCAGCAGUAGGGAAUCUUCGGCAAUGGACGGAAGUCUGAACGAGCAACGCCGCGUGAGGGAAGAAGGUUUUCGGAUCGUAAAGCUCUGUUGUAAGAGAAGAAAGAGUGUGAGAGUGGAAAGUUCACACUGUGACGGUAUCUUACCAGAAAGGGACGGCUAACUACGUG
This 495-nucleotide ribosomal RNA is filed under the name uncultured bacterium. RNAcentral describes it as "partial 16S ribosomal RNA". It matches the Rfam family "Bacterial small subunit ribosomal RNA", at positions 28 to 507 of the family's 1533-position model. The record is from RNAcentral.